This 1509-nucleotide ribosomal RNA is filed under the name Microbacterium aurantiacum. Its description in RNAcentral is "16S ribosomal RNA". It matches the Rfam family "Bacterial small subunit ribosomal RNA". Lineage: Bacteria; Bacillati; Actinomycetota; Actinomycetes; Micrococcales; Microbacteriaceae. The record is from RNAcentral.
UUGAUCCUGGCUCAGGAUGAACGCUGGCGGCGUGCUUAACACAUGCAAGUCGAACGGUGAAGCCAAGCUUGCUUGGUGGAUCAGUGGCGAACGGGUGAGUAACACGUGAGCAACCUGCCCUGAACUCUGGGAUAAGCGCUGGAAACGGCGUCUAAUACUGGAUAUGAGCUGCGGAGGCAUCUUCGUGGUUGGAAAGAUUUUUCGGUUUGGGAUGGGCUCGCGGCCUAUCAGCUUGUUGGUGAGGUAAUGGCUCACCAAGGCGUCGACGGGUAGCCGGCCUGAGAGGGUGACCGGCCACACUGGGACUGAGACACGGCCCAGACUCCUACGGGAGGCAGCAGUGGGGAAUAUUGCACAAUGGGCGGAAGCCUGAUGCAGCAACGCCGCGUGAGGGAUGACGGCCUUCGGGUUGUAAACCUCUUUUAGCAGGGAAGAAGCGAAAGUGACGGUACCUGCAGAAAAAGCGCCGGCUAACUACGUGCCAGCAGCCGCGGUAAUACGUAGGGCGCAAGCGUUAUCCGGAAUUAUUGGGCGUAAAGAGCUCGUAGGCGGUUUGUCGCGUCUGCUGUGAAAACCCGAGGCUCAACCUCGGGCCUGCAGUGGGUACGGGCAGACUAGAGUGCGGUAGGGGAGAUUGGAAUUCCUGGUGUAGCGGUGGAAUGCGCAGAUAUCAGGAGGAACACCGAUGGCGAAGGCAGAUCUCUGGGCCGUAACUGACGCUGAGGAGCGAAAGGGUGGGGAGCAAACAGGCUUAGAUACCCUGGUAGUCCACCCCGUAAACGUUGGGAACUAGUUGUGGGGUCCAUUCCACGGAUUCCGUGACGCAGCUAACGCAUUAAGUUCCCCGCCUGGGGAGUACGGCCGCAAGGCUAAAACUCAAAGGAAUUGACGGGGACCCGCACAAGCGGCGGAGCAUGCGGAUUAAUUCGAUGCAACGCGAAGAACCUUACCAAGGCUUGACAUACACGAGAACGCUGCAGAAAUGUAGAACUCUUUGGACACUCGUGAACAGGUGGUGCAUGGUUGUCGUCAGCUCGUGUCGUGAGAUGUUGGGUUAAGUCCCGCAACGAGCGCAACCCUCGUUCUAUGUUGCCAGCACGUAAUGGUGGGAACUCAUGGGAUACUGCCGGGGUCAACUCGGAGGAAGGUGGGGAUGACGUCAAAUCAUCAUGCCCCUUAUGUCUUGGGCUUCACGCAUGCUACAAUGGCCGGUACAAAGGGCUGCAAUACCGCGAGGUGGAGCGAAUCCCAAAAAGCCGGUCCCAGUUCGGAUUGAGGUCUGCAACUCGACCUCAUGAAGUCGGAGUCGCUAGUAAUCGCAGAUCAGCAACGCUGCGGUGAAUACGUUCCCGGGUCUUGUACACACCGCCCGUCAAGUCAUGAAAGUCGGUAACACCUGAAGCCGGUGGCCCAACCCUUGUGGAGGGAGCCGUCGAAGGUGGGAUCGGUAAUUAGGACUAAGUCGUAACAAGGUAGCCGUACCGGAAGGUGCGGCUGGAUCACCUCCUU